CACAUGAUAUUAUCUUCGCGCCACUUUCGCAAAAACCCUUUUUUUUUACUCCAGGUUUUGCUCCAGCUCAAAGGUACUGUUCUUAUCUUGCUUUAAUACAACGCUUCUUAAAGUCGGGUCUAAGUUCUCUUCCCUCCCCCUCCUCUUCUUUCCACUGCUAGUCGUUACCAUUAAAGGUCGAAAGUUGCAUUGCAGUCGGUGCAAUCUCACAGGAGGGAUCUGGUUGGGUAGUAAACUUCGGGCUGCGUAGUUUCCAGAAAGUAUCACGCAGACGUGCCAGGGUAGGCUGCAAGGUCUGUUGCAUGAAAAAGGGGAGGAAGCCCACCUGUGCGAGUGACUCGCGUUGGAGAAAUGAUUGUGGUUUUCGUUGCAUCCACCGCUGACUCCUGAGGGGCGCUGGCAGUUCAGGUUGGACUCUUUCGCGGGCCAGGGGCGGGAGAGGCCAGUCUUUUGUAAUGUUUGCCUGAGCUACUACUGUGCACCAGUGAACCAGGUUGAGAAUCACAUGGCGCCCUUGUCCUCUUCUGGGCUUUGGGCUGCCACAAUCACCCUGGUAACAAUGGUGGAAAGGGAGGGGUCCGGCUUCAUUUUGCACCCCUUCCCUCCUUCCUUACCCCCCGCUUGCCUUCCAGGGCUUUCCUCCUCCGACCCAGCGUGCUCACUGGUCUCUGAUUUGUAACCUCGUACCCUGCACACCCCCGCCCACCCCCCCACCCCCCGCACGCUCCCCAAAUCCCAUCUUGCGCCUGUGUCCGCCAGGGACGCGGAGAAGGUAUAUAGCCCGGUUGUCUCUCAUUUUGCCCGGUGUUCAAAGUCUGGUAUGCUUAAUUCCAUUUUGAUUGUGCGUCUUAAACUAAGACAUCAUUUUAUUCUACAGAGCGCUGUCGGGCUUUGGCCUUGAAGCAGCCCGCCCUCAAUUGGUUCUCAUUAGCGGUGGAAUGAGAGGAGAAAGCAAGAUAAUUGCACCGUAUCUUCCGCACAUUUGCGCGUGUAUUCGGUGGCUGCUACCGUUAACGAUACCUGCCAAGAAACCCUGAUUUAGUGGGUGAAGAGGGCGCCUGGCAAGGGCGAAAGCCUCCCAACAGUAGCACAAGGUGCUAGGGGUUAAAACUUUCACAUGUGCAGAGAGUAAGUCGUGUUUCUAUUUCUUCCCUCCUCGGGCCUUAGGAACACUUUCAAUCUAGCGGCGAGGUGGCGCGCAUGCGCGCGCCGGGUGGGGGACACCCCUGUCCCACGGCUCCGUGGGCCUCGUCGUCUGUCUCCGGUGGGGGGCUGAGGCGAGCGCCGCGGGAGCGAGAUGGGACAAGGUGGUAGUGAGUGCGCCAUCCUGGCCCGGAUGCCGGUGGCACCCGCACCGGCUCCGGCCACGGCCUCUGCCUGGGCCGCUGUCCCAGGCGCGCCUUUAAUUAAGGACUCCAGCUUGGGGGAAGAGAGAAGGGAAAAUGCCGACUGCGCUCCGCCCGUGGGUAACUGGGGCUCGGUGGGGUUUUCGCUUUGGCGGGGUGGGGGUUCCGUUUCCUAAUUCCUGUGCGGGCCGGGUGGGCGGGGGCGGGCUUUUUUCCUUGGGCUAUUAAAGGCAGAGGGGCGGGCUUUUCCCAGGGAUAUAGCUACGGACAGAGGGCCAAGGGGACGGAGCGCUCCUCAAGUGGUGGCAGGGAGGCUCGUGGCCCCGCGUCGCUCUGGACAGGGGCGCUUUGGGGUGAGAUGUGCGCUCGCGGCCUUGUGGACGCUUUUUCUCACUUCUCUUCCCCCUCUGGCUCCGCGGGAGACUGCGCUCGCACCCGGCCCCGGAGCGCUCGAGCUGCGCGCUGGGACACUGGGUAUACGUGUGGAGGGGACACCCGGAGAGGGCGGCCCGUGCGGGAUCCCCGCGCUCUCCACCUGCGAGGGGCGGGCCGGAGCUGGGUCCCGCGCGCGGUUUCCCGAGCGGGUGGCUGGGCAAGAAGGGAGCCCUUCGUUGGGGCAGCUGUGAUCCGGUAGAGUUGACUGGUUGGGUGGGAGGGGACGGAGCGGGCGGGACUUGAGAAAAGCAAAGUACCAGAGUGCGGUUGAGGGGUAGCGGGCAGCGCGCGGGAAACGACUCCCCUUUUCUUCUCCACCGUUGACCUUUAGGUUCCUGGAAAACUUUGGUGGUGAGGGUGUGAAAUGAGGGGGUGCACGUGGAGGGAAAAAAGGGACUCCCCUCCCUCUUGGCUUCUAUCCCACCAACCCGGGAAUGGAGGGGGAGGGAGGCGUGGGCUUGGCGCGUUUUUGGUGCUUUGAAUGGAGAACUCCGUUUCCCAUGAUGCUUUGUUUCUUUCUCUUUAAUUUCGGCGGCGGCUGAGGCUGCACGAGGACUGGAGCGCGUGGUGUGAGCAGCUGGAGCACACCCUGGACGCGCGGGCUGCUCGCGGACUUCAACGGGAGCAUUAGGUGAGUCUGCAUGGAUCUGUGAGGACGGAAAAGAAGAGCUCCUGGAAGACUUAAAAUUUUGCUACAGGAAUAGGCCUUGGCCAUGUAAAAGUGCUUACAGUGCAGGUAGCUUUUUGAGAUCUACUGCAAUGCAAGCACUUCUUACAUUACCAUGGUGAUUUAGUCAAUGGCUACUGAGAACUGUAGUUUGUGCAUAAUUAAGUAGUUGAUGCUUUUGAGCUGCUUCUUAUAAUGUGUCUCUUGUGUUAAGGUGCAUCUAGUGCAGUUAGUGAAGCAGCUUAGAAUCUACUGCCCUAAAUGCCCCUUCUGGCACAGGCUGCCUAAUAUACAGCAUUUUAAAAGUAUGCCUUGAGUAGUAAUUUGAAUAGGACACAUUUCAAUGGUUUGUUUUUUGCCUUUUUAUUGUUUGUUGGGAACAGAUGGUGGGGACUGUGCAGUGUACAGUUGUGUACAGAGGAUAAGAUUGGGUCCUAGUAGUACCAAAGUGCUCAUAGUGCAGGUAGUUUUGGCAUGACUCUACUGUAGUAUGGGCACUUCCAGUACUCUUGGAUAACAAAUCUCUUGUUGAUGGAGAGAAUAUUCAAAGACAUUGCUACUUACAAUUAGUUUUGCAGGUUUGCAUUUCAGCGUAUAUAUGUAUAUGUGGCUGUGCAAAUCCAUGCAAAACUGAUUGUGAUAAUGUGUGCUUCCUACGUCUGUGUGAACACACCUUCAUGCGUAUCUCCAGCACUCAUGCCCAUUCAUCCCUGGGUGGGGAUUUGUUGCAUUACUUGUGUUCUAUAUAAAGUAUUGCACUUGUCCCGGCCUGUGGAAGAAAGGAGGAUUUUUAUCGUCUUCUUAUUUUAACUUUUAAAAGCCGUAAGUUCUGAUAUUUAGUCAUUGUAAAAUGAUCUGUUUUGCUGUUGUCGGGUGGAUCACGAUGCAAUUUUGAUGAGUAUCAUAGGAGAAAAAUUGCACGGUAUCCAUCUGUAAACCGCAGGACCUUUGUUGGCGACAUUCCUGAUCAGCGCUACAGUAAGCUAGAUGGUAAAAAAUCCUUUCUCUAGUUGCUGCUAUUAAAAAAUAAUUUGAAAUAUAUUUGGAUUUCUAAAAACUAUGAUAGCUAAUUUAUAAAGUAUGUGUUUUGGAACUUUGGUGAAUGAUCAGAUUGUUACUGAAUGUGAGUGAACCUCAAAAUAAAUGAAAUUUAUAGAUCUGAAAAAAUGACUCUUUUUUUAAAAAAAAAAAUAAUUAGCAAUGCUAGAGGAGUUUGUAAAAUAUCUCUUGGGAGGAUCCUAAAGGAAAACUUGGACAUAGCUGCUUUUCAAGUUUGCAUCUACAUAAAGCACCAAGAUGCCUAAUUUUAGGAAUUUUAUUACCCUGACAAUAUUUGGAUGACAUGUACUAAUUUUGUUUUAGUACACGUGCUCAUUCUUAGGAAGGGAAUGAAGAGUUGUAAACCA
This 3854-nucleotide small RNA is filed under the name Pan troglodytes (chimpanzee). Its description in RNAcentral is "processed transcript". The stretch from base 3311 to 3390 matches the Rfam family "mir-363 microRNA precursor family". Lineage: Eukaryota; Metazoa; Chordata; Mammalia; Primates; Hominidae. The record is from RNAcentral.